GACGAACGCUGGCGGCGUGCCUAAUACAUGCAAGUUGAGCGCUGAAGGUUGGUACUUGUACCAACUGGAUGAGCAGCGCACGGGUGAGUAACGCGUGGGGAAUCUGCCUUUGAGCGGGGGACAACAUUUGGAAACGAAUGCUAAUACCGCAUAAAAACUUUAAACACAAGUUUUAAGUUUGAAAGAUGCAAUUGCAUCACUCAAAGAUGAUCCCGCGUUGUAUUAGCUAGUUGGUGAGGUAAAGGCUCACCAAGGCGAUGAUACAUAGCCGACCUGAGAGGGUGAUCGGCCACAUUGGGACUGAGACACGGCCCAAACGCCUACGGGAGGCAGCAGUAGGGAAUCUUCGGCAAUGGACGAAAGUCUGACCGAGCAACGCCGCGUGAGGGAAGAAGGUUUUCGGAUCGUAAAACUCGGUUGGUAGAGAAGAACGUUGGUGAGAGUGGAAAGCUCAUCAAGUGACGGUAACUACCCAGAAAGGGACGGCUAACUACGUG
RNAcentral lists this ribosomal RNA (497 nucleotides) under uncultured bacterium. RNAcentral's name for it is "partial 16S ribosomal RNA". It matches the Rfam family "Bacterial small subunit ribosomal RNA", at positions 28 to 507 of the family's 1533-position model. The record is from RNAcentral.